UUCAGGUUAAGGAUCCGAUGGUGAUCGGACAUGAGUGUGCUGGGAUCGUAGACAAAGUUGGGAGCGAGGUGAAGCAUCUGGUGCCUGGUGACCGUGUGGCUGUUGAGCCCGGCAUCAGCUGCGCACAUUGCCAGCAGUGCAAAGGCGGCCGCUACAAUCUAUGCCCUGACAUGAAGUUUUUCGCCACCCCACCUGUUCAUGGUUCAUUGGCGAAUCAGAUUGUGCACCCCGCGGAUCUGUGCUUUAAAUUGCCGGAAAAUGUGAGCUUGGAAGAAGGGGCAAUGUGUGAGCCCUUGAGUGUUGGGGUUCACGCUUGUCGGCGAGCCAAUGUUGGUCCCGAAACAACUGUUCUGAUCGUCGGCGCAGGGCCGAUCGGGCUGGUUUCCGUGCUGGCUGCUCGUGCUUUCGGAGCACCAAGAAUUGUCAUCGUAGAUAUGGAUGACAGGCGUUUAGCCAUGGCAAAGUCUCUCGGCGCCGAUGGCACGGUCAAAGUUUCGACAAAAAUGGAGGAUUUAGAUGACGAAGUUGCCAAGAUUAAAGAAGCUAUGGGAUCCGAAGUUGAUGUGACCUUCGACUGUGUUGGCUUCAACAAAACCAUGUCUACGGGCCUCAAUGCCACUCGUCCUGGCGGCAAAGUUUGCCUUGUCGGAAUGGGACACGGGGUGAUGACGGUCCCUCUCACUCCGGCUGCUGCCAGGGAGGUUGACGUGGUUGGAGUUUUUCGUUACAAGAACACAUGGCCGCUUUGCCUAGAGUUUUUGAGAAGCGGGAAGAUCGACGUGAAGCCGCUUAUUACCCACCGGUUUGGUUUUACCGAGAAGGAGGUGGAAGAAGCUUUUGCAACCAGUGCUCGGGGGGGCAACGCCAUUAAAGUCAUGUUUACUCUAUAGCAAAUCAACCAUGAAGUUGCAGAAUUUCGGAUUGUUUGAGGGGGCAAGUUUGUGAUGGUUUGGAAAUUUGGAAGUCAUCAUCUCGGAUGAAGAAUGUUCUUGUUCUAAAGUUCGUGGAAACUUGUUGUACAGGGACCAUUGUAUACCUUUAUUAGAUCUCGGCAUGCACCAGUGUAGUAGCUUCCCGUAUUUUUAACAUGAGUCCGUCAAUAUAUAUGAACUAUGUAUGUAACUAAAAGUUCUUCAAUAUAAGUCUUUUUUUCCGCUGAAGUUGUUUUCAUUUGACACGAGUCUGUUGGCCUUGCUUCAGUUCCUUUGGACCAUCGAAGAGAGUACUAGACACAUCGUGAUGGAGAAAUAUAGACGUACUUCUAUUAGUGUAGAAAAUAUAUACCUUGAGUUACUGUUGUUCCAAUAGCAUUUCUUGCUGCAGUAGCGUAUGGUAGAGCAGUUUAUGAAUAUCUACGCGGUGGAUUUGAUUUUACCAAAGAUGAUGAGAAUGUUAAUUCCUAACAAUUUUACAAAU
This 1416-nucleotide long non-coding RNA is filed under the name Malus domestica (apple). Its description in RNAcentral is "long non-coding RNA (MDOM_LNC001181)". The record is from RNAcentral. Lineage: Eukaryota; Viridiplantae; Streptophyta; Magnoliopsida; Rosales; Rosaceae.